This 695-nucleotide ribosomal RNA is filed under the name uncultured bacterium. Its description in RNAcentral is "bacterial SSU rRNA". It matches the Rfam family "Bacterial small subunit ribosomal RNA", at positions 70 to 788 of the family's 1533-position model. The record is from RNAcentral.
GAAACAUUUGAAGUGACUUAGUGGCGGACGGGUGAGUAACGCGUGGGUAACCUGCCCUGUACUGGGGGACAACAGUUGGAAACGGCUGCUAAUACCGCAUAAGCGCACAGCAUCGCAUGGUGCAGUGUGAAAAACUCCGGUGGUACAGGAUGGACCCGCGUCUGAUUAGCUAGUUGGUGGGGUAACGGCCUACCAAGGCGACGAUCAGUAGCCGGCCUGAGAGGGUGAACGGCCACAUUGGGACUGAGACACGGCCCAGACUCCUACGGGAGGCAGCAGUGGGGAAUAUUGCACAAUGGGCGCAAGCCUGAUGCAGCGACGCCGCGUGAGUGAUGAAGUAUUUCGGUAUGUAAAGCUCUAUCAGCAGGGAAGAAAAUGACGGUACCUGACUAAGAAGCACCGGCUAAAUACGUGCCAGCAGCCGCGGUAAUACGUAUGGUGCAAGCGUUAUCCGGAUUUACUGGGUGUAAAGGGAGCGUAGGCGGCAUGGCAAGUCAGAUGUGAAAGCCCGGGGCCCAACCCCGGAACUGCAUUUGAAACUGUCAGGCUAGAGUACCGGAGAGGUAAGCAGAAUUCCUAGUGUAGCGGUGAAAUGCGUAGAUAUUAGGAGGAACACCAGUGGCGAAGGCGGCUUACUGGACGGUAACUGACGCUGAGGCUCGAAAGCGUGGGGAGCAAACAGGAUUAGAUACCCU